AUUGAACGCUGGCGGCAGGCCUAACACAUGCAAGUCGAACGAGUGGCGGACGGGUGAGUAAUGUCUGGGAAACUGCCUGAUGGAGGGGGAUAACUACUGGAAACGGUAGCUAAUACCGCAUACCAUCAGAUGUGCCGAGAUGGGAUUAGCUAGUCGGUGGGGAAACGGCUCACCAAGGCGACGCUCCCCAGCUGGUCUGAGAGGGUGACCGGCCACACUGGAACUGAGACACGGUCCAGACUCCUACGGGAGGCAGCAGUGGGGAAUAUUGCACAAUGGGCGCAAGCCUGAUGCAGCCAUGCCGCGUGUAUGAAGAAGGCCUUCGGGUUGUAAAGUACUUUCAGCGGAGAGGCGUUACCCGCAGAAGAAGCACCGGCUAACUCCGUGCCAGCAGCCGCGGUAAUUC
RNAcentral lists this ribosomal RNA (406 nucleotides) under uncultured bacterium. Its description in RNAcentral is "partial 16S ribosomal RNA". It matches the Rfam family "Bacterial small subunit ribosomal RNA", at positions 30 to 526 of the family's 1533-position model. The record is from RNAcentral.